RNAcentral lists this ribosomal RNA (465 nucleotides) under uncultured bacterium. RNAcentral describes it as "partial 16S ribosomal RNA". It matches the Rfam family "Bacterial small subunit ribosomal RNA", at positions 338 to 795 of the family's 1533-position model. The record is from RNAcentral.
CCUACGGGUGGCAGCAGUGGGGAAUAUUGCGCAAUGGGCGCAAGCCUGAAGCAGCGACGCCGCGUGAGGGAUGAAGGUCUUCGGAUCGUAAACCUCUGUCAGCAGGGAAGAACGGUCACUGUGCUAAUCAGCAGUGAAUUGACGGUACCUGCAAAGGAAGCACCGGCUAACUCCGUGCCAGCAGCCGCGGUAAUACGGCGGGUGCGAGCGUUAAUCGGAAUUACUGGGCGUAAAGCGCUCGUAGGCGGUAUGUCAAGUCAAGGGUGAAAUCCCCGCGCUCAACGUGGGAACUGCCUUUGAAACUGGCAAACUGGAGUGUGGGAGAGGAUAGUGGAAUUCGAGGUGUAGGAGUGAAAUGCGUAGAUAUCAGGAGGAACAUCAGUGGCGAAGGCGACUAUCUGGCACAUAACUGACGCUGAGGAGCGAAAGCGUGGGUAGCAAACAGGAUUAGAUACCCCAGUAGUC